GACGAACGCUGGCGGCGUGCCUAAUACAUGCAAGUCGAACGCAGUGGGGACGGGUGCGUAACACGUGGGUAACCUCCCAUCAGAGGGGAUAACCCUUGGCAACAGGUGCUAAACCCAUACUGAUGGAUGGACCCGCGGGGCAUUAGCUAGUGGGUGGGGUAACGGCUCACCAAGGCCACGAUGCAUAGCCGACCUGAGAGGGUGAUCAGCCACACUGGGACUGAGACACGGUCCAGACUCCUACGGGAGGCAGCAGUAGGGAAUCUUCGGCAAUGGACGAAAGUCUGACCGAGCAACGCCGCGUGAAUGAAGAAGGUUUUCGGAUCGUAAAGCUCUGUUGUUAGAGAAGCGGUAUCUAACCAGAAAGCCACGGCUAACUCCGUGCCAGCAGCCGCGGUAAUUC
This 403-nucleotide ribosomal RNA is filed under the name uncultured bacterium. RNAcentral's name for it is "partial 16S ribosomal RNA". It matches the Rfam family "Bacterial small subunit ribosomal RNA", at positions 28 to 526 of the family's 1533-position model. The record is from RNAcentral.